Molecule: long non-coding RNA, 108 nt
Organism: Nematolebias whitei (Rio pearlfish)
Lineage: Eukaryota; Metazoa; Chordata; Actinopteri; Cyprinodontiformes; Rivulidae
Exons: 3
Source: RefSeq, a predicted model, not a curated record
CGCCAAGUCCAAGAGGGUGUGAGUCAGAACGCUCACAAAAAGCUCAGAUUCUUGCCCGGCAUCGUCUACAUUGAUGAGGGCGGCGCUGUGGGUCUGUCAAUACAGAAG